RNAcentral lists this ribosomal RNA (468 nucleotides) under uncultured bacterium. Its description in RNAcentral is "partial 16S ribosomal RNA". It matches the Rfam family "Bacterial small subunit ribosomal RNA", at positions 28 to 507 of the family's 1533-position model. The record is from RNAcentral.
GACGAACGCUGGCGGCGUGCUUAACACAUGCAAGUCGAACGGAAAGGCCCUGCUUUUGUGGGGUGCUCGAGUGGCGAACGGGUGAGUAACACGUGAGUAACCUGCCCUUGACUUUGGGAUAACUUCAGGAAACUGGGGCUAAUACCGGAUAGGAGCUCCUGCUGCAUGGUGGGGGUUGGAAAGUUUCGGCGGUUGGGGAUGGACUCGCGGCUUAUCAGCUUGCUGGUGGGGUAGUGGCUUACCAAGGCUUUGACGGGUAGCCGGCCUGAGAGGGUGACCGGCCACAUUGGGACUGAGAGACGGCCCAGACUCCUACGGGAGGCAGCAGUGGGGAAUAUUGCACAAUGGGCGGAAGCCUGAUGAAGAAACGCCGCGUGCGGGAUGACGGCCUUCGGGUUGUAAACCGCUGUCGCCUGUGACGAAGCGUGAGUGACGGUAAUGGGUAAAGAAGCACCGGCUAACUACGUG